Molecule: transfer RNA, 73 nt
Filed under: Deltaproteobacteria bacterium
Lineage: Bacteria; Pseudomonadati; Myxococcota; Myxococcia
Also listed under: 3 other names
Description: tRNA-Arg
Rfam family: tRNA
About the family: Transfer RNA (tRNA) molecules are approximately 80 nucleotides in length. Their secondary structure includes four short double-helical elements and three loops (D, anti-codon, and T loops).
Source: RNAcentral
GCGCCCGUAGCUCAAUGGAUAGAGCAUCGGACUUCGGAUCCGAGGGUUAGAGGUUCGACCCCUCUCGGGCGCG